This 253-nucleotide ribosomal RNA is filed under the name uncultured bacterium. Its description in RNAcentral is "partial 16S ribosomal RNA". It matches the Rfam family "Bacterial small subunit ribosomal RNA", at positions 524 to 776 of the family's 1533-position model. The record is from RNAcentral.
UACGUAGGGGGCAAGCGUUGUCCGGAUUUACUGGGCGUAAAGAGCGCGUAGGCGGACGUUUAAGUGUGGCCUGAAAGCCCCCGGCUCAACCGGGGAUCCGGGUUGCAAACUGGACGUCUUGAGGGGGAUAGGGGAAGGUGGAAUUCCUGGUGUAGCAGUGAAAUGCGUAGAUAUCAGGAGGAACACCGAUGGCGAAGGCAGGUCUCUGGGCUGACACUGACGCUCAUGCACGAAAGCGUGGGGAGCAAACAGG